GAUGAACGCUGGCGGCGUGCCUAACACAUGCAAGUCGAGCGAUUUACUUCGGUAAAGAGCGGCGGACGGGUGAGUAACGCGUGGGUAACCUGCCCUGUACACACGGAUAACAUACCGAAAGGUAUGCUAAUACGAGAUAAUAUGCUUUUAUCGCAUGGUAGAAGUAUCAAAGCUUUUGCGGUACAGGAUGGACCCGCGUCUGAUUAGCUAGUUGGUAAGGUAACGGCUUACCAAGGCGACGAUCAUUAGCCGACCUGAGAGGGUGAUCGGCCACAUUGGAACUGAGACACGGUCCAAACGCCUACGGGAGGCAGGAGUGGGGAAUAUUGCACAAUGGGCGAAAGCCUGAUGCAGCAACGCCGCGUGAGCGAUGAAGGCCUUCGGGUCGUAAAGCUCUGUCCUCAAGGAAGAUAAUGACGGUACUUGAGGAGGAAGCCCCGGCUAACUACGUGCCAGCCGCCGCAGUAA
RNAcentral lists this ribosomal RNA (468 nucleotides) under uncultured bacterium. RNAcentral's name for it is "partial 16S ribosomal RNA". It matches the Rfam family "Bacterial small subunit ribosomal RNA", at positions 28 to 523 of the family's 1533-position model. The record is from RNAcentral.